Molecule: unclassified non-coding RNA, 392 nt
Filed under: soil metagenome
Description: partial contains 5.8S ribosomal RNA, internal transcribed spacer 2, and large subunit ribosomal RNA
Rfam family: 5.8S ribosomal RNA (bases 1-122)
Source: RNAcentral
GAUGAAGAACGCAGCGAAAUGCGAUACUUGGUGUGAAUUGCAGAAUCCCGUGAACCAUCGAGUCUUUGAACGCAAGUUGCGCCCGAAGCCACUAGGCCGAGGGCACGCCUGCCUGGGCGUCACACGUCGUUGCCCCCCCCCAUCUACUCCUUCGGGAUUGCGGGGGGCGGAUGAUGGCCUCCCGUGCGCCUAGCCGCGCGGUUGGCAUAAAUACCAAGUCCUCGGCGACGCACGCCACGACAAUCGGUGGUUGCGAAACCUCGGUUGCCCGUCGUGUGCGUUCGUCGCGCAUCGAGGGCCCGAAAAAAUGCUCGGCUCCGGCUCGGCUUUCAACGCGACCCCAGGUCAGGCGGGGUUACCCGCUGAAUUUAAGCAUAUCAAUAAGCGGAGGA